GGGGCGGGGGCACGGGGGGCCUACGGGAGGCAGCAGUAAGGAAUAUUGGUCAAUGGAGGCAAGUCUGAACCAGCCAUGCCGCGUGCAGGAAGACGGCCCUACGGGUUGUAAACUGCUUUUGUACGGGAAUAAACCCUCUUUCGUGAAAGAGGUUGAAUGUACGGUAAGAAUAAGGAUCGGCUAACUCCGUGCCAGCAGCCGCGGUAAUACGGAGGAUCCAAGCGUUAUCCGGAUUUAUUGGGUUUAAAGGGUGCGUAGGCGGCUUAUUAAGUCAGGGGUGAAAGACGGUGGCUCAACCAUCGCAGUGCCUUUGAUACUGAAGAGCUUGAAUAUACCUGAGGUAGGCGGAAUGUGACAAGUAGCGGUGAAAUGCAUAGAUAUGUCACAGAACACCAAUUGCGAAGGCAGCUUACUAAAGUAUAAUUGACGGUGAGGCAAGAAAGCGUGGGGAUCAAACAGGAUUAGAUACCCUGGUAGUCCACGCCCUAAACGAUGAACACUCGAUGUUGGCGAUAUACAGUCAGCGUCUAAGCG
Molecule: ribosomal RNA, 534 nt
Filed under: uncultured Sphingobacteriaceae bacterium
Lineage: Bacteria; Pseudomonadati; Bacteroidota; Sphingobacteriia; Sphingobacteriales; Sphingobacteriaceae
Description: bacterial SSU rRNA
Rfam family: Bacterial small subunit ribosomal RNA
Source: RNAcentral